Molecule: transfer RNA, 102 nt
Filed under: Houttuynia cordata (chameleon-plant)
Lineage: Eukaryota; Viridiplantae; Streptophyta; Magnoliopsida; Piperales; Saururaceae
Description: tRNA-His
Source: RNAcentral
AAAUAAAUUUUAAAUUUAAAGUAGUAUUUGUAAAUAUGAAAUUUCUAAAUACGAAACGAAGAAACGAACGAAACAGAAUCGAAUGGAUUCUUAUCGAUUCGA